RNAcentral lists this ribosomal RNA (497 nucleotides) under uncultured bacterium. RNAcentral describes it as "partial 16S ribosomal RNA". It matches the Rfam family "Bacterial small subunit ribosomal RNA", at positions 28 to 507 of the family's 1533-position model. The record is from RNAcentral.
GACGAACGCUGGCGGCGUGCCUAAUACAUGCAAGUUGAGCGCUGAAGGUUGGUACUUGUACCAACUGGAUGAGCAGCGAACGGGUGAGUAACGCGUGGGGAAUCUGCCUUUGAGCGGGGGACAACAUUUGGAAACGAAUGCUAAUACCGCAUAAAAACUUUAAACACAAGUUUUAAGUUUGAAAGAUGCAAUUGCAUCACUCAAAGAUGAUCCCGCGUUGUAUUAGCUAGUUGGUGAGGUAAAGGCUCACCAAGGCGAUGAUACAUAGCCGACCUGAGAGGGUGAUCGGCGACACUGGGACUGGGACACGGCCCAAACGCCUACGGGAGGCAGCAGUAGGGGAACUUUGGCAAAGGACGCAAGGCUGACACAGAAACGCCGCGUGAGUGAAGAAGGGUUUCGGAUCGUAAAAAUCUGUUGGUAGAGAAGAACGUUGGUGAGAGUGGAAAGCUCAUCAAGUGACGGUAACUACCCAGAAAGGGACGGCUAACUACGUG